This 3071-nucleotide long non-coding RNA is filed under the name Homo sapiens (human). Its description in RNAcentral is "long non-coding RNA NONHSAT169468.1". Lineage: Eukaryota; Metazoa; Chordata; Mammalia; Primates; Hominidae. The record is from RNAcentral.
GGGGUGGCGGGGAUGGUCGCUGACCCGGAAGAAGCUUGGCUUGCCCGAAGGAGGGGAGGAUUAAUGACAAAGACGGCCCCGCUCUUUCCCAUUCAAUCCCGCUCUGCGAGGCGCGCCUAGUCUGAAAGGAUGUGCGCGCAGCUGUGCAGGAUGAAUCACAGACAUCAGAGAUGGAGAACACCUGUUACUGUGGGUCAUCGGCUUGGCGUGCGUCCGGUCUAGUUUCCAUUUACAGGACAGUUCUGUGCCCUUCCUCAGGAGGUCCCAUUCCUUCCUUCUUUUGGUCGGUUCUGAGUGUCAGCUGUCUACUGGGGAUCUGCUAAGGCUAAGAGGCAAAGAUAGGCAAGUCACUCCCCUGACCUCAAGAAACUCCCAGUCUACAGGCGAAGAUACACCACCCACCGGUAGAGUCGCUGGACCAGAAUAUUAGGUGUUCCAGUCAAAGUCACCCAGAUUUGCCAAAAGACCUGGCACAAAUGUCACUUCCACUAUGAAGUCCCACUGACUUCCAUAUACAAGUCACAAGUGAUGAUGCCCCAUCUGGAUUGGUAAAGAACUCACAGCAAGAAAAAUCACUGAUGUGGAAAAACUCAGGACAGCAUUCUUUUGCUGACCACUUACCACUUUUGCACGUACCCAGCAGCCCACUGAAGUGCUUGUACCUGUGUGCCUGGGGAAGGUGGGGAGAAUAUUUCUUCUUUUACCCCUCCAAGGUCUGUAUCUUUAUUACUUUGAUAGUUCCUGCCUUAGUUUAGUUCACCAUCACCUCUCGUCUGGAUUAUUAGGAACUAUUCUUAAUAUACAUCCAAUCCACCCUCCACACUGACAUCUGAGUUCUCAUUCUCCAAAUGCAAGCCUUCAUUGACUAGCCAGUGCCUUCAGGAUCAAGUCAAAAUUCCUAAAUGCAGAGGAGCCCUAACAAACUAGACCCAAGUGUCCCUUCCAGUCUCAUCUUCCAGCACCAUCACAUUGUAUGCACAAGGCACCGUGUAUUUGCUCCUCUUGGAAGAAAAUCCCUCCCACUUCUGUGACUCUUUACCAGCUCCCUGCUCUCCUCCAGCCAGAGAAAAGCACCCUUUCCCUUUCCUCUACCAGGAAAAUCAUACUCAACUUUCAAUACCUAGUUCAAAUUUCAGUUGCUGUGUUCAAUAUGUUAGAGGCAGAACAGGAAAAUGGGAAAGAGUAAGGAUUCUGGACACUUGUGCUCCUCCAUUGAUCACAUUUGUAAGAUUGAGUGACUUGUUUAACUUCCUUAAGCUUCUGUUUUCUUAUAUGUAAGUUGGAGAUUUAACAGUAACUACCACAUCAGGUUAUUGGGAGGAUUAAAUGUGACAAUAUUUCUAAAGCACUUAGGACUGUGCCUGGCAUAUCAGAAGUACUUAACAUGUAAACAUUAACUAUUAUUCUAGUUUUGCUGACAUUUUCUCAACCCAGUUAUAUUUUGGCUUAACUGACUUUAAGAAACUUAAUUUAAUUAAUUUAUUUAUUUUUGAGACAGGGUCUCAUUAUGUUGCCCGGGCUGGGGUGCAGUGGCUAUUCACAGGCACCGUCCCACGACUGAUCAGCAUGGGAGUUUUGACAGAGGUUUCCAACCUGGGCCAGUUCACUCCUCCUCAGGCAACCUGAUUGUCCCCUGCUCACAGGGGGUCACCAUAUUGAUGCCAGACUUAGUGCAGACAUCCAGUGGGCUUCAGGCACUACAGCCUAGAACUCCUGGACUCAAGCAAUCCUCCCCUCAGUCUCCCAAGUAACUGAGACUACUAGCAUGCACCACUACACCCAAUUAAAACGGCUUUUAUACCUAGAAUUAUAUUAGCUUGGGUGAAUUGAAUAACCAAGGUAACUGCAUUACCCACUCUAGUUCAUUUAUUCCUUAAUAUUUACCACAGCUGCAUCUCAUGGAGUGUGGUUUGAACAAGUUAUAUUGAACUGCCAUGUGGCCGUGACCCUUGUAAGUAUAACUCUAUCAAGAACUAUUAAUCUGGGCUCCAGCUUUUGUAUUUUGGGAAUUCUGAGAGUCUGGUCAGGUAUUUCUAGUGCUUUGCUUUAAUAAUAAGCAAUAUGAACAUCACCAAAUAAUUUAAAGAUUCUACCUGUUCCAUGAAAGGGCAAAGCAACUCCUAAAUGCCAAAGGAGAUGAAAAACCAAAGAAGGAGGUAAACAAAUCCACUUUGUUGGUUUUGGGUAAUUUAUUAUGGGGAAUUUACAGGCACAAGUGUGGUUUUGGGCAUACGCAAGAUAGGUAGAUCUCCGUACCUCAAGCCCCCAGACCCAGGGCUUAUAUCUUGAGAAGAAAGCAUACAUGCUCUGGAAGGAAUGUGUAGCCAGUUUUGGGCAUCACAGCCCGUGAUUUCUGUGAUAACAAGCGUUGUUUUGGAGGAAACCUUCAAUAAGUAGAUGUUUCUACAUAAGGAGUAAUACAUCAGCUAGCCAUUUUGGAGGCAUUCCCCACCUCCUGGUUAAUUAGAAAUUGCAUGGCAGAUUCGCUUUUAAAAUAAAGUAACUCUUGUCCCCAUAAUACCUUUGUAAAAUCUUUCCACCUAUGUUUGCUAUGCCUGUAGGGAGACAAAUACUUUUAUUGAAUUUGUACAUACAAGGCUUAUUUUCAUUACCACUUUGAACUUAUUCAAUCUAAUUUCACAUCUGAUUUAUUUCCAUUUCAACUAUACCUCAAAGUCAAAUUUAUUUUCAUUCUAUAUUAAAAUAUACAAUGAUCACUAUGAUUUCCAAUCUUGUUUUUGAGAUCUGACAAAUUCUUAUGUGUAAAUAUAGUUUUCUGGUAAGGGGAGUAAUAGAUUUGCAACAAAAAUUAUGAAUUACUUGUUUUAUCUUUGAGUGUAUAUACGUAUACCUGUAUGUCUUAUUUAUCUAAAAUACAAACUUAAGCAUGUUAAGAAUAGAAGCCUUUCCCAUUAUUCCACACCUCCGUGGGGGCUUUAGAACUGACUGAUAUUCUGUAAACUGAUAACAUCUAUUACAUCACUUUUCACUUUGUAUUACAAUAUUGGAUUAUAUGGCCAUUCUGUACCCACCCACAACUGAGAGCUGAAUGCAUAAAUAAAUGAAGACUG